This 87-nucleotide transfer RNA is filed under the name Bacillota bacterium. RNAcentral describes it as "Firmicutes bacterium (anaerobic digester metagenome) tRNA-Leu". It matches the Rfam family "tRNA". Rfam says of the family: Transfer RNA (tRNA) molecules are approximately 80 nucleotides in length. The record is from RNAcentral. Lineage: Bacteria; Bacillati; Bacillota.
GCGAGCGUGGCGGAAUCGGCAGACGCGCUAGGUUCAGGACCUAGUGGGCGCAAGCCCGUGGGGGUUCAAGUCCCUUCGCUCGCACCA